Long non-coding RNA from Orcinus orca (killer whale), 4739 nucleotides. RefSeq lists it as uncharacterized. NCBI's taxonomy places the organism in Eukaryota, Metazoa, Chordata, Mammalia, Artiodactyla, Delphinidae. The transcript is spliced from 3 exons. The record is from RefSeq and is a predicted model, not a curated record.
CUAGCUGCUAACUCUUCUCAAGGUCUAGCACGCUCUGAACACUGGCCGGCUCAGCCUGGGUGUUGACAUUGCAUUGUACGUGUCACAGAGCAAGGGCGGGUCAGGGGGUGGUAUGGGGGCCCCACACAAGCCCAGGCCCUGGAGAAACCCGGCCCGAGGGCAAAGAGCCCGACCCCUUCUGGGCUUUCUAGCGGCUGGGACUUGUCGCUGUGGGUGGCAGGUGUUUGGCACCGGAUGGGUCACCAUGCGGAGACUGUUGGGGACUGUGGAAGUCUUCUCCUCCAGAGCUCACCCUGCCUGGGCACCGGCUCUGCAGACCCCUCAGCCCUGGCUAUGUAUCGGCCAGCCCUUCCCCGCAACGGGGCCCAGAGGCCAGAGCAUGCCCAGAGCUGAGUGGAGGAGGCACCCAGAGUUUGCCAGGCUGUGGCCCGCCACCUCCGUGGACCUCCCCAGCUUGUCCGCGAGCCCUGGAGACAGGAGCGCCUUCUCCAGGGCUGCUGAGCUACCAGCAUCACCAUGAGCCAGGCAGUGAAGGUUUCUGAGCAGGGGAUGCAGAGCCCUGACGCGACUGGAUGCUGCACCCCACGAUGUCCCUUCCUGGCAGGUAGGUUCUUUCUUCAUUUGUUUUUCGAAAUUUGGUAAAAGAACACUUAAACCUUCGACUGUUCUUCAGGGUAUACAGAUGGUAGUGGCUUAGCCGGGAUUCGAAGCAAGCCUGUGUGAUUCCAGAGCUCGUGCUCUGGACUCUGGUGCCUCCUUAUCAUAUAUGCUUCAUGUGUUACUUUUAGCCCUAAGUGCCAUACCUGUAAUGAACACAUACACUGCCCUGUAGGAGGUGUUCUUUUGUUCAACGCGUGAAUUGGUCAUCCACCACACUGGGUUCUAAUCUCAGAAGAUAGGUCAGGGACCACCAGUUGUCAGCAUAGCACCAUCCCACAUUUCUAAUUGAGGCUUGCAGCCUAGAUUUGUCCCUUUGGUCUAGUUUGAAGGAUCCAGGUAUGUAAAGCUUAUAUUCUAGAUAAAUCAGGGGCUCUCCUGAAAGGAAUUCAUCAAUGAAUUAUUCUGUAUGGAUUAGAAGCCAGUUUCUCUGGCCUUCCUGGAGUAUAUCCAGUAAGGCAUCUCAUUCAUGUCUAGAAAGCAAAUAUAUCAUUUAUUGCAACUUCAGCAUGGAGCGAUGUAUUGGUUUAAAAUAAAGUACGAUCAACACGAUUUGGUCAUUGUGAGUAUGCCGGCUGGGUCCACUCUUUACUACACAUAUGUAACUCUAGAGCUUCUUACGCCCCAUAGAGGAGACAUACUCUUGUGUGUCUAGGACAAGGGAAACGUGUGUUGUUAUUCAGGAGCUGGAAGCUACAGCAUGACAGGAAAGAACUGAAAAAUCCUGGUCUUGGUCUACACAUCACUUUACCUUGUUCGAAUCUUGUUUCUUUGGCUUGCUUCAUUGGAGUGUUUUCUCUCUCCUGGGACUGACAUUGUGUGUUAUAUAUCAGGCAUGUAACAUGUAGAAGUUUCAGAACCAGUGAAACUUUGUAUAUUUUUGUUUAAAAUCUAUUUAAAAUCACACUGGGCAUAAUUCAUAUAUUCCAAAAGUAGUUUGACCCUCUGCUCAUGAGAUUCUUUUUAUGGUAUGUCAAAGCAAAUUUGGACUUCCAUCCCCAAUAAACUUUGAGGUUGGAGGACACAAAAGCUUUUGCUCAGACCUAAAUUCUGUCUGAAGAAAAAGGGUAACUAUUAUAAGCCCUUUCUAACCUCUCCAGGAGCAGAAAUGAUUUACAGCUAUGGCAUUGAACGAUAAUUUCUUGAUCUCAUUUGAGAAGAGCUCAGUGAGAAACCGUGUCUUGAUUUUUGUUUGUUGGUUCCCUGUUUUCUUGUCUUGCUUACCAACAAUCCACUGUAAUCCAUGAGUGAGUAUGGCAGCAGGCUGAGUGUUCCCUGGAGCUCAUUAAGUGAACGUUUUUUCCUAAAAUGACUUUUGUCUCCUUGUUUUCAGCCCCUCUUCUUUCCUCUGUCCUUUACUAUAACCAGGGCUCAGCAAAAGCUGCCUGGCUUUGUGCAGACCCUACUUAGGGUAGUCUUUUCUUCAUUAUUUUAUUCAUGGCCCCUCCAUUUCAUUGUUUGCCUUCUCGAAAUGUGUUGAAAUCUUUCUGUGGUUGAUGACUUCCACAAUGUCUUGGCUUUUAUUGGUUGAUUAAUUUUGGUAUUUCUGCAGUUUUAUUUAAACAUGGUUUCAGGAGGACCAGAAAGUAAAUAUAUUUCCUAGUCUGCCAUCUUGAGCUGAAAAUCCCCGUGGAUUUUAGCAUCCAAUGUUCCCAUGGGCAAAAAACCCAACCUUGGCAUUAAUAGAUGUACACUCAAGAUUUCAGCUUUUCUUGAGCAAUCACUAAGGAUUUAAUAUGCGGUCACUUGUAAUGGGAAAAUAAUAACUAUCUCAUGGCGUUGAUUUGAGGAUUAACUUAGAUAAUGGACAAGAAAAUGCUUUGUAAGGUUUUAAAAUCUAUAAAAAAUGUGUUUUGUUAUUAUUUGAUUUGUUGCUAUUUCACCUUUAGCUGACAGUUGUUUGUGACCUUGCUUAUGUGAGAAAAUGCCUUCUGGUUUAUUGUUUUGAAAGCCAGAUGAUAUUUUUCAAUAGCUCAGUGGAAAUGGCAUCAUUUGUGAAGUUGAAGGGUGAAGGCAUAAAUGUUUCUUGACAUUUGAAUCAACUAUUGGUCUUCUGGGGCUUGUCCUUAUUCUCCUGCAGUCUCUAAUCAACAUGGCAUCCAGAGAGAUCCUGUUAAAACAUAAGUCAGAUCAUGUCACUCAAGUCUCUUCAAUGGCUUCUUCACAGGAAAAGCAAAGUCCUCAAAGUGCCUCCACAGCCCUAGAAAUCUGGGCCUCUGUUUCCUCUCUGACUGUUUCCUUCUCCUCUCCACUUUGCUCCCUCUGUUUUCCACACACUGACAUCCUUUCUGCUCCUUGGAUACUCCAAGCCCACUCUUGCCUCAUUGCCUUUCCAUCUGACUGUUCCCUCUGCUUGUACUAUUCACUUCCCAGAUAUGCACCUUGCUCCCUCUCACAACCUUAGGUUCCCUCGUAAAUUUUAUCUUCCCCAGAAAGCCCUCAGUGAUCACUUAGUUUCCGAUCGCAGCCUCCUCCUACCAGCUAACAAUCUCCAUCCCCCUUCCCUGCUUGCUGUUUUUCUCCAGCACUUACCUGAUAUACUAGUUAUUCUACCCAUUUGUUCAAUUUUUAUUUACGUAUUUACACUUACGAUUUUAUAUUUGCUUCUUUACUUUUGUCUCUCCCCUCAGCUCGAGAGAGGCUAUAUUCAUCUGUGUUAAUCACUGCUGUGUUUCCUGAACAUGCCUAGAAAACAUCCUGAAGAAGGGUGCCUGAAAUUUGGAAUGACUGGCCACAGGACUGGGCGUCGUAGCUUCCUGCCAGGCGGCCGAAGGUCGCAGGCAGGCUCUCUAGAAAGCAUGUGCAGAGCCUCCCACCCCACCCUCGGACUCCGCGGGCCACAGCUGGAGGGACCAGCCAAGGAACCGUGGCAGGAAGAGGCCAGAGGUCAGCGGGCCUCGGCCGGAGCCCGUCAGUCGGUCCCCAUUCACACACCACCAGACGAUCCUCUUGACCUGGGCAGUAGCCGCCAACCGACCGCUGAGGUGAGCCCGGUGCGCGCUUGGCUACCUGGCAUGGCUGGGAACCCCAGGAUCUCCUGGCAGAGGCGGGCAUUCUCCUGGGCCGGGUCCGCGGGCGUCUGCAUGUGCAGGGCCUGAACCACCUUGGCCAGGACGAUCUGGCACAGGUUGAAGAGGCCUGGGGGGCGGGAGGAAGGAGACGGGGGGCUGGCACCGUGUCCAGGCCGCGCUUUCCAGCCGGGCAGACCGGAAGCCCCCUUCCCUUCCCUCGGUCCGGCCGCAUCUGGGUUGGCCUCCCGGGACUUGAUGAGCUUGUCCAGCAGCUCCUGAGGGACGGUGCUGCCCGUGCCCCACCAAGACUGGCAGCAGCGCCAGGGCCUCCCAGGGCACGGCGCCCCCGGCCCCAGAGUCUUCCCUCUGGUUCUCAUCACCGGCUGUCACCAGACUUGCAUGCAACGUUCUUUUCUUUUCUCUUGUCGUCUUUACGUCCCUCAGCCACGCAACACGGUGAAGCCCUGACGCUCGCUGCCGCGUCGAUACACCCUGAGAACACGAUGCUCAGCGAGAGAAGUCAUACACAGAAGGACACACAGGGCGUGACCCCACUGAGGGGAAACGUCCAGAGCAGGUAGAUCCACAGAGUCAGCGAGUGGGUUCCUGGUUGUCAGGGGCUGGCGAGGGGACGGAGUGAUAGCUAAGGGCGUGAGGGACAUUUUCGGGGUGACGGAAAUGGUCCAAAGCAGUAGUGACGUCUGUACAGCUCAGUAAACUGUCCCCACACGCCCCGGUGCAGCCUGUGAGAGCAUCGCGCUCAGGAUGAAGGGCUGACCACAGGAAGACUGAACGAGCAGUGGGUCCUGGGCCCAGACGCUCAGCUGGCGCCCCCCACGUGGGGAAGUCACUGGGACUUGCUGAGCCUCCACGGAGACUGGCAGCAGCCCCCGAGCUCACAGGGCACUGCGCCCCCGGCCCCAGAGCCUUCCCUCUGGUUCUCAUCACCGGCUGUCAGCAGACUUGCAGGCAACGUUCCUUUCUUUUCUUUUGUCUUUUUCCAAGGCAACUCUUGAGUGCAUGUAUUUAACAUGCAGGGAACCAGCCCUGACUCCUUGAUCUGGGUCUUCC